This is a long non-coding RNA of Vanessa tameamea, 535 nucleotides long. RefSeq lists it as uncharacterized. Lineage: Eukaryota; Metazoa; Arthropoda; Insecta; Lepidoptera; Nymphalidae. The transcript has 2 exons. The record is from RefSeq and is a predicted model, not a curated record.
AUAAGGACGUUACCGCCGGCCACGUGCGUCAUCCACGAAAUAAUAUAAUGAUGUUAACUUGUAUAUUUAUCUUAACUUUAUCAAUUAUAAGUGUUCAAUCACAAAGAGUGGCGCCAUCUAGUGGGCGGCAUGUCUCCCCAAACACCAACGCGUUUGCUGCGACAGAACCAUCUAUACCAAAGACAGCGGAAGCCGCUGUACCAAAUACUAUUCUGCCAGUCAUACCAUUUAUAACCGAAUUGCCAACGUGUCCAGAUCUGUGCUUUGAUGAUAUUUUAAAGUCACCUUUGGGUUGUUUAGAUCCAAUUUUAGAUGUGUAUGGCAAAACAACAGCAAAGCCAGGCACGGAUACGCCCGGGGGCCCGCCGAUAGCAUCGCGAGUUGCACGUCUAGCUCUUUCGUCCACUCUACCGGGCUGCGAUUGUAGGAAUCACUUUUUGGACAGACUGUCGAUACCGCCGCCAUUUAUUUAAUCUAAUUUAUUGUAAAUUUAUAACUUUAAUUUAAUACUAAUAUAAAUAUUUUAUUACAUAAA